Long non-coding RNA from Zophobas morio, 1364 nucleotides. RefSeq lists it as uncharacterized. The transcript has 3 exons. NCBI's taxonomy places the organism in Eukaryota, Metazoa, Arthropoda, Insecta, Coleoptera, Tenebrionidae. The record is from RefSeq and is a predicted model, not a curated record.
UCUUUUCGUCUUGUGAUUUCGUUUUGAACACUUGAACUUUCGAAUUCUAAGCUUUCUUGAGUUUACAUUCUACAAGCAGAUAAUAGUUUUGCACUCGUAUUUGGUAUAUUUUGGGUGUCCCAGAAUUCGCGCCAUUCCCGUGAAUGACAUGUUCCCUGUCCCGAACUGUGCCGUAAUUCGCAAAAAGAAUUGUCCAGGCUUUAACCGUGUGAGAACUGGAAGGCGAUUAAGUUGACCAAUAGAGAGGCUGCUUUUAUAUCCGAACGUUUCUAUCACGGACUAAAAUAUGAAGGACAUUGUACUGUGUAGUUCGGAUGGCUCCGUUUUAUUUCCGUGGUGGCGCUGCGUGUUACUAGCCCUUGUUUUCCAUUGAAGUAAAGCGGUGUUAUUAUUGUUUCACCAAAUAUUUUUAAUAUAUGACAAAAACUUGGUAAUUCUUAUUAACCACAGUUAAUAAAAGAUGUAUCAGGCAAUUAAUGGAAAGUGACAAACGAAGAUGACGACAAGAAGUGGCAGUGGUUUGUACAGGUUACAAAGGUGAAACAGGUAAAUUUUCGUUAUUUCGUGCUCCACAUGAUGAAAAUCUAUUAUCUGAUAAAGAAAAAUACCUAGAGGAGAUCUCACAUCCCAUGACGUUGUGUGUGAAAGACAUUUUACUUCGCCAGAGAUAAUUAAGGAAUGGAAGUCUGGUUCGAUUUAAAUUCCGUAUAAGCGUCCAAAAUUAAAACAUGGGGCAAUACCAACAAUAUUUCCCAAUUGUCCUGGUUAUUUGACAACAACAGUAUCGAAAAGGAGGAUAAUCGAAAGACAUGAAAUUCCAUCGGAAAGGGCAAAAAUGGAGCAUCUUGAAAAUUUGGAACCUGUAGAUAAUUAAUCAAAGACCUAGACGUAAUUAAAAACCCUUUUAAGCAUUUGUUGGAUGUAAAUAUACCAUUUCGAUUGCCUUCUUUUUGUGAGGUUACCACAUACAUAGAGGGUGACACUAAAAAUGUAAUGUUUUCAAAAACAGUUAUCAAAACACAAAAGCCAAACGUGCAACAUGUUUUAGUGAAUGAAAAUUUUCAGUUAAAUUUUUUUGUAAAUCGGGUGGAAGUGAAUAUCGAAUGUAACCUUGAACAGAUUCGAAGGAAUGUGAAUUUGUUUGAGGACACCUUGGAGAAAUUUAUGUCAUCAGACAUUUGCAUUGGCGGAAAUCUCAGCCUUUAAAAAAACAAGUUAAAUUACGUAGUACUUAGCUUUGAACUAGCAGAUUCCUGAAAUGUGUCUUUAAAGUGUAUAUUUUUUAAUUUGUGUGACAUAAAAUUGUGACCUUUUCCACUUGCACUGAAGUUGAGGAACGUCAUAUUUUUUAGAAGAAUAUUUGA